CAACAUCCAGAUCUGAAAUUGACACUUCUGCUGUACAAAGUACCUCACUCCACAACCAGGCAAAAUACAUUGUUUAUGAGUCUUCUCUAAUGGAACUGUUUGAGUAUUGUCCUGUAUGCAAACGGAGGUGUGAGGUCAAGACAAGGAGGUUGGGGACCUUCCUGGCUGUGGAACAGCUCUGCACACACUGUCUGUGUUUCUAAAGAUGGAAUAGCCAACCUUUAGUUGGUAGUACCCCAGCAGGCAACAUUCAUCUGUCUGCUGCAAUUUACAUCAGUGGCGCUUCGUAUUUCAAAUUUCAAAAUAUUGCAAGGGCGAUGAAGCUCUAUAUGUUCGAAUUUAACACUUUCCGGCGACAUUCCAGGAGCUUUGUGGAACCUGCUAUCAUCAGUGUCUGGAAAACCUGGCAGAAUUCCAUACUCCUUCGCCUAAGUCAGAAGGACAAGGUUAUUGUUGGAGGUGAUAUGAGGGCUGACUCGCCAGGGCACUCGGCUAAAUAUGGAAGCUACACCAUGGUGAAACUCACGACCAACAAAGUGGUGGAUUUGCAGUUGGUUCAGAGUAAUGAGGUCGGUGGAAGCUACAAUAUGGAGAAAGAGGGAUUAAGCUUGGCAAAAAUGUCACAGCAUGGAGUCAAAUUGGAUUCAAUAGUAACUGAUCGCCAUCCAGCCAUUCAGAAAUUUUUGAGAGAGAGAAGAUAAUGCAAUUCUACGAUGUGUG
This is a long non-coding RNA of Betta splendens (Siamese fighting fish), 720 nucleotides long. RefSeq lists it as uncharacterized. Lineage: Eukaryota; Metazoa; Chordata; Actinopteri; Anabantiformes; Osphronemidae. The transcript is spliced from 5 exons. The record is from RefSeq and is a predicted model, not a curated record.